UUACAGUGCAUUCUAACUUUAAUCAGUUUCUUUGUCAGGAGCUCUUAUGGUCUGCACUCAAAGCUGGUGAUAUUGAUAUGGUUGUGUCAGGUCAUUCAUCAUGCACACCUGACCUGAAGUGUUUAGGCAGUGGUGAUUUCACACAGGCUUGGGGAGGGAUCUCUUCUCUGCAGUUCGGUGAACGAAGACAAAAUACAUCACAAUAACAAGUUAACUUCACACCUUGGCCUUGCUCUGCGAGGGAAGGUGAAGGCCACUAUAGUCCGAGGGAAGGUGGUUUACAGUCAUGGCUCUUUCAGUUCUCAGGCUCUGGGGAAGCAUCUCUGUAUCCAGCACAAGACACCAGCCC
Molecule: long non-coding RNA, 349 nt
Organism: Cyprinus carpio (common carp)
Lineage: Eukaryota; Metazoa; Chordata; Actinopteri; Cypriniformes; Cyprinidae
Exons: 3
Source: RefSeq, a predicted model, not a curated record